This 497-nucleotide ribosomal RNA is filed under the name uncultured bacterium. RNAcentral's name for it is "partial 16S ribosomal RNA". It matches the Rfam family "Bacterial small subunit ribosomal RNA", at positions 28 to 507 of the family's 1533-position model. The record is from RNAcentral.
GAUGAAUGCUGGCGGCGUGCCUAAUACAUGCAAGUCGAGCGAACAGACGAGGAGCUUGCUCCUCUGACGUUAGCGGCGGACGGGUGAGUAACACGUGGAUAACCUACCUAUAAGACUGGGAUAACUUCGGGAAACCGGAGCUAAUACCGGAUAAUAUAUUGAACCGCAUGGUUCAAUAGUGAAAGACGGUUUUGCUGUCACUUAUAGAUGGAUCCGCGCCGCAUUAGCUAGUUGGUAAGGUAACGGCUUACCAAGGCAACGAUGCGUAGCCGACCUGAGAGGGUGAUCGGCCACACUGGAACUGAGACACGGUCCAGACUCCUACGGGAGGCAGCAGUAGGGAAUCUUCCGCAAUGGGCGAAAGCUUGACGGAGCAACGCCGCGUGAGUGAUGAAGGUCUUCGGAUCGUAAAACUCUGUUAUUAGGGAAGAACAAAUGUGUAAGUAACUAUGCACGUCUUGACGGUACCUAAUCAGAAAGCCACGGUUAACUACGUG